RNAcentral lists this ribosomal RNA (464 nucleotides) under uncultured bacterium. RNAcentral describes it as "partial 16S ribosomal RNA". It matches the Rfam family "Bacterial small subunit ribosomal RNA", at positions 339 to 795 of the family's 1533-position model. The record is from RNAcentral.
CUACGGGAGGCACCAGUGGGGAAUAUUGGACAAUGGGGGAAACCCUGAUCCAGCAAUGCCGCGUGUGUGAAGAAGGCCUUAGGGUUGUAAAGCACUUUCAGUAGUGAGGAAAAGUUUAAGGCUAAUACCCUUGAACCCUGACGUUAACUACAGAAGAAGCACCGGCUAACUUCGUGCCAGCAGCCGCGGUAAUACGAAGGGUGCAAGCGUUAAUCGGAUUUACUGGGCGUAAAGCGCGCGUAGGCGGUUUGAUAAGUCGGAUGUGAAAGCCCCGGGCUCAACCUGGGAAUUGCAUUCGAUACUGUCAGGCUAGAGUAUGGUAGAGGGAAGUGGAAUUCCACAUGUAGCGGUGAAAUGCGUAGAUAUGUGGAGGAACACCAGUGGCGAAGGCGACUUCCUGGCCCAAUACUGACGCUGAGGUGCGAAAGCGUGGGGAGCAAACAGGAUUAGAUACCCCUGUAGUC